This 250-nucleotide ribosomal RNA is filed under the name uncultured bacterium. RNAcentral's name for it is "partial 16S ribosomal RNA". It matches the Rfam family "Bacterial small subunit ribosomal RNA", at positions 524 to 773 of the family's 1533-position model. The record is from RNAcentral.
UACAGAGGGGGCAAGCGUUAUUCGGAAUUAUUGGGCGUAAAGGGCGCGUAGGCGGUUUUUUAAGUCAGAUGUGUAAUCCCCGGGCUCAACCUGGGAACUGCAUCUGAGACUGGAAGGCUAGAGUACUGGAGAGGGUGGUGGAAUUCCUCGUGUAGCGGUGAAAUGCGUAGAGAUGAGGAGGAACACCAGUGGCGAAGGCGGCCACCUGGACAGUAACUGACACUGAGGCACGAAAGCGUGGGUAGCAAAC